RNAcentral lists this long non-coding RNA (927 nucleotides) under Homo sapiens (human). Its description in RNAcentral is "HSALNT0072003". The record is from RNAcentral. Lineage: Eukaryota; Metazoa; Chordata; Mammalia; Primates; Hominidae.
GAAAAUGUUCAGUCUUUCAUUAUUAAGUAUAAUGUCAACUGUAGUUUCUUUUUUUUUGUUUUGUUUUUUUGUUUUUUGAGACAGAAUCUGGUUCUGUCGCCCAGGCAGGAGUGCAGUGGCAAGAUCUUGGCUCAUUGCAAACUCUGUCUCCUGGGUUCAAGUGAUUCUCCUGCCUCAGCUUUCCAAGUAGCUGGGAUUACAGGCAUGGUGGCUCACACCUGUAAUCCCAGUAGUUUGGAAGGCUGAGGUGGGUGGAUCACCUGAGGUCAGGAGUUUGAGACCAGCCUGGCCAACAUGGUGAAACCUCAUCUCUACUAAAAAUACAAAAAUUAGCCGGGCCUGGUGGUGGGCACCUGUAAUCCCAGCUACUCGGGAGGCUGAGGCAGGAGAAUCACUUGAACCAAGAUGGUGGAGGUUGCAGUGAGCUGAGAACACACCACCGUACUCCAGUCUGGGUGACAGAGUGAGACUCUGUCUCAAAAAAAAAAAAAAAGAAUAACUUAUCAUAACCAAGAAGUGUUUAUCAUAGAAGUGUUAAAAUUAUUUAUAUAGUUCACCAUAUUAAUAUUCACAGGAAAAUAUGAUUAUUUCUAUGAGAGCAAAGGAGACUUUAAUAAAACUCAACAUUAAUUCCCAUUUCUAAUAUUUUAAAAAUUGGCAACAUAGGAAACUUCCUAACAUGAAUAAAACAUCUACCUCAAACUAAUGGUCAACACCAUGCUUAAGAAUGAAAAUCAAGAGGCAUUUUCAUAAAGCCAAGGACCAUACUGGAUAUCCGUUAAGAUAGUUAUAACAGAAUAUCAACAUUAUUAUGUAUUAUCUUCUGGAAGUUUUAGUCAAGGCAAUUAGACAUUAAAACUAAAUGCUUCUUAAAAAGAGGAAAUAAUUUUGUGUAAGUAAUAUAAUUGUAUUGAAAAAACAGAAAUU